CCUACGGGUGGCAGCAGUGAGGAAUAUUGGUCAAUGGGCGCGAGCCUGAACCAGCCAAGUAGCGUGAAGGAUGACUGCCCUACGGGUUGUAAACUUCUUUUAUAAAGGAAUAAAGUGAGGCACGUGUGCCUUUUUGUAUGUAUUUUAUGAAUAAGGAUCGGCUAACUCCGUUCCAGCAGCCGCGGUAAGACGGAGGAUCCGAGCGUUAUCCGGAUUUAUUGGGUUUAAAGGGAGCGUAGAUGGGUUGUUAAGUCAGUUGUGAAAGUUUGCGGCUCAACCGUAAAAUUGCAAUGGAUACUGGCAGCCUUGAGGACAGUUGAGGUAGGCGGAAUUCGUUGUGUAGCGGUGAAAUGCUUAGAGAUAACGAAGAACUCCGAUUGCGAAGGCAGCCUACUAAUCUGCCACUGACAUUGAUGCUCGAAAGUGUGGGGAUCAAACAGGAUUAGAUACCCGGGUAGUC
This 460-nucleotide ribosomal RNA is filed under the name uncultured bacterium. RNAcentral's name for it is "partial 16S ribosomal RNA". It matches the Rfam family "Bacterial small subunit ribosomal RNA", at positions 338 to 795 of the family's 1533-position model. The record is from RNAcentral.